AUGAUGACGGAUGCUCUCCCGAGUUCAUUAAUGGCGUGCAUACUUUUUCUGCGGGCCGCUGAGGCAAACAAGCGGGCGGAUGGUUUUAUGCCUUGUCCAUGUGCUGGCUGUAAGAAUGGUCACAGUUACUCUACGUCAAAAACCAUUCACGUCCACCUAUUUAAGUCCGGUUUCAUGCCCCACUAUAAUGUUUGGACCAAGCACGGAGAAAUAGGGGUUAUGAUGGAAGACAAUGAAGAAGAAGAGGACGACGAUGGCUAUCCUGGCCAUGGGUUCCCUGAAUAUGAUGAUACAACAAUGGGGGAAGAAGCUGAGCCGGCAAUGCGGGAAGAAGCUGAAGAAGAGGCAUCAGAUGAGCUCGCUGAUGAUCUAGGUCGGGCCAAUGCUGAUGCAAAGAGAAACUGCGCAAGUGAUCUGGAGAGGACGAAGUUGCAGUGCAUGUUAGAGGAUCACAAGAAAUUGUUGUACCCGAAUUGCGAAGCUGACAAGAAAAAGUUAGGCACCACACUUGAAUUGCUGCAAUGGAAGGCAGAGAAUGGUGUAUCUGACAAGGGAUUUCGAAAG
RNAcentral lists this ribosomal RNA (564 nucleotides) under Triticum aestivum (bread wheat). RNAcentral describes it as "partial small subunit ribosomal RNA". The record is from RNAcentral. Lineage: Eukaryota; Viridiplantae; Streptophyta; Magnoliopsida; Poales; Poaceae.